This is a long non-coding RNA of Acanthopagrus latus (yellowfin seabream), 1649 nucleotides long. RefSeq lists it as uncharacterized. The record is from RefSeq and is a predicted model, not a curated record. Lineage: Eukaryota; Metazoa; Chordata; Actinopteri; Spariformes; Sparidae. The transcript is spliced from 2 exons.
ACCACUAUUUGAACAGUUGCACAACUGGUGCAAUCAAAUGAUGCUUUGUUGUGCUAUGCAUAGAUUCAGGUAUUCAGUGUGGUGUUAUGCAUAACACAACAGAGCUUUAUUGCUCCAUAUUUUCCAAUCACUGCUGUGAUAAUGGAAACCUUGGCAUAGGAUGAAUCUAUGAAAUAUGUCAAAACUUGGCAAACCCCAAUCAGUGAUGUUGAAGAGGGCCUUUUGCCAUCAACAGCUGUUAAAAAUGUGGGAUGAAGCCUAAAGUGGAAAAAAUGUUAAAGGUUUCAUCUGAGUGUGAGAGAGUGAUGCUGUGUCUGUUUCAGUGCUUUCAGUGGGACAGUGGACGCACACUACCACCACUUUUAAAAUGUACUCUUUGAUGUAACGUGACUUUUUCUCACGUACCUUCAAUUCUCACAAGCUGUCGGUAGCAUAGGCAUUGAAUUGCAUAUGGACGUGUCCAUGCCAAUCUCAAAUGAUGGCUGAAAUGUCCACACCAAUAUUUAUCGUUAUCGAUAAGGCUGAAGGAUAAAAAUGCGCCCCAUGCGGCAUACAAGGGUUUAAUCCUUUCCCACUUUGGCACCGCCUCCUAAAUAAGUUUUUGAGACAGGUCUGCUUUUUGAUUGGCUUAGCUCCCUGUAAGCUGCAGAGCAUGUGAGCGGAGCUGAGUGGCGAGAAUUUCCGCUCCCCGCUUAUGUGGGUGUUCGCUGCUUCUCUUCAUCGCUCAAAGUUAUACCAGACAGCUCCGCUCACCUAAAAUUUCAUUCAGCUCUGGAGAAAUCGCUCCACGCUCGCUCAAAUUUAAAAGAGGGAGCAAUUCCUGACAUUACACCUUUACUUUAUGACCUGUCUGCUUGCUUUUUGAAAUAUUUUACAAACUCCAUAUCUCAACAAAUGACCUCUGAUGUAGGCUAACCCUUGAAGGCACACGUGAGUCUGUGUGGACCUGUGCAUGCCCUAGACUCAUGGAGAGCGGUAUGGGAAUGGAACUGGAGCGAAACGGAACCAUCGCUCUGGCCUUUCGAUUAAAACCUGCUCUGCGCUCCAACUAUAUUUCGCACACUCCACUCUGCUCACCUGCCCUUGUAGGCUGUCAAAGUUGUUUCACUUGCAGGCUUUUCCAGUAUUGACAAGAUGAGGUCGACACUGUGCAACACAUGUCCGAGGAUGUCGGGCAAGAAACAAAGUGUAUGUCAUUUGAGGAAAAUAAUCCCCCCUCAUACUGCUAAUGAAUGCAAAAGAUUGUUUGCAACCGUUAUGGUUAGGCUAAGUCCCACCAAUGUCAAAAUCAAGACUGUUUCACUUCGAAAAGAUGUCCACAGAUACUCAGGUUCCCAGAUGGAGGGAGUUGUGUUACACAUCAAACAGCCUGCACCGGUGCUGAUACAGUGAAUUGCGAUCCGUGUUGUUUCCCAGGUAAACACACUGAAGUGGGCUGUUGGAGCUGUAGUGUCUCUGGGGAAAGCAAAGAAGGAGAAGAAAGAACCAUUCAUGACACUGACUCUUCAUUUCCACUAUGACAACUGGCUCUGCGGCAUGGUAUUAUUCCAUAGAUUGACAGUUAAUGCAAUUUAUUGUAAUUCUAGUAGCUCCUUACCCCUUCCUCUGUUUUAAAUGUGAUGACAUAAAGUUUAGUCUGCAGAUUUUAA